CAAAGAGCGCAGGGCGGAUGCCUUGGCGCCUGGAGCCGACGAAGGACGUGACAAGCUGCGAAAAGCUGCGGUGAGGAGCAAAUAUCCCACGACCCGCAGAUAUCCGAAUGGGGAAACCCGGCCGGGGUAAGUGCCCGGUCAGUCAUACAUGAACCCAUAGUGUAUGGCGGGGAACGAGGUGAACUGAAACAUCUCAGUAGCCUCAGGAGAAGAAAUCAACCGAGAGUCCGUCAGUAGUGGCGAGCGAACGCGGAUGAGGCCAAACCGCAUGACGCGAGUUGUGCGGGGUUGCGGACCGGCGAUAUGUACGAGAGUUGCGAGUGGAAUGAGCGGUUGGAAAGCCGAGCCCAGAGAGCGUAAAAGUCGCGUACACGAAGCAAAACUCAAGCUAGCCGGCACCAGAGUACCACGAGACACGAGGAACCUUGUGGGAAGCCGGGGGGACCACCCUCCAAGCCUAACUACUCCAGGCGACCGAUAGUGAACAAGUACUGUGAAGGAACGGUGAAAAGAACCCCGGGAGGGGAGUGAAAUAGAAUCUGAAACCCUGUGCUUACAAGCAGUCGUAGGACGUUAAAGUCUGACGGCGUACUUUUUGUAGAACGGUCCGACGAGUUAUGGUGACGGGCGAGGUUAAGUGCUGAAGGCACGGAGCCGCAGCGAAAGCGAGUCUGAAUAGGGCUACUUUAAGUCCGUUGCUGUAGACCCGAAACCGGGUGACCUACCCAUGGGCAGGCUGAAGUGACGGUAAAACGUCAUGGAGGGCCGAACCGUUGUCUGUUUAAAAAGGCUCGGAUGACCUGUGGGUAGCGGAGAAAUUCCAAUCGAACUCGGAAAUAGCUGGUUCUCCCCGAAAUAGCUUUAGGGCUAGCCUCGUGUGUGAGUCUGGCGGAGGUAGAGCACUGAAUGGGCUAGGGGCCUUACCGGGUUACCGAACCUUAUCAAACUCCGAAUGCCGUCAAGAUAUCCACGGGAGUCAGACAGCGACAGAUAAGUGCCGUUGUCGAAAGGGAAACAGCCCAGACCAUCAGCUAAGGUCCCUAAAUCGUCGUUAAGUGGCAAAGGAUGUGGACUUGCGAAGACAGCCAGGAUGUUGGCUUAGAAGCAGCCAUUCAUUAAAAGAGUGCGUAACAGCUCACUGGUCAAGUGGGUCUGCGCCGAAGAUGUCCGGGGCUAAACGAUAUACCGAAGCUAUGGGGCUACGUUAGUGUAGUUGGUAGGGGAGCGUACCGUGCGAGCGGAAGCACGACCGGGAGGACGUGUGGAUUGCACGGUAGUGAGAAUGUCGGAAUGAGUAACGAGAGGAAGGUGAGAAUCCUUCCCGUCGAAAAUCCAAGGUUUCCUGGGGAAGGUUCGUCCGCCCAGGGUCAGUCGGGUCCUAAGGCGAGGCUGAGAAGCGUAGUCGAUGGAUAACAGGUGGAGAUUCCUGUACUACCGGCCGGCGCAAGAGAGAGGCAGUGACACAGUAGGAAUGAGCGAGCGUGCGACUGGAAGCGCACGUCCAAGCACAGAGUGUAGUCCCGUAGUGAAGUACGCGGGAUGGUCAUGAUGUGUGAUGGGGAGGGAACACAAGUACCGAAGCGCGGCGUUUCACACUGGCGAGAAAACCUGCUAUCGAGCCGGAAGGUACCCGUACCGCAAACCGACACAGGUGGAUGAGGAGAGAAUCCUAAGACGAGCGGGCUAAGCAUUGUUAAGGAACUCGGCAAAUUAACCCCGUACGUUCGCAAGAAGGGGUGCCCGCCUCGAUAAGGCGGGUCGCAGUGAAUCGGCCCGAGCAACUGUUUAUCAAAAACACAGGUCUCCGCGAAAUCGUAAGAUGAAGUAUGGGGGCUGACGCCUGCCCGGUGCUGGAAGGUUACGGGAAUCUGUUAGCGUAAGCGAAGCAGUGAACUUAAGCCCCAGUAAACGGCGGCCGUAACUAUAACGGUCCUAAGGUAGCGAAAUUCCUUGUCAGGUAAGUUCUGACCCGCACGAAAGGCGUAAUGACUUGGGCACUGUCUCGACAAUGCGCCCGGUGAAAUUGUAGUACUUGUGAAGAUGCAAGUUACCCGCGACAGGACGGAAAGACCCCAUGGAGCUUUACUGUAGAUUGUUAUUGGGAUCCGGUAUUGACUGUAUAGGAUAGGUGGGAGACUGGGAAGCGCCGGCGUCAGUUGGCGUGGAGUCGUCCUUGGAAUACCACUCUGUCAUUAUUGGUUCUCUAACCGAUGGCCGUGAACCGGUCACGGGACAUUGGCAGUCGGGCAGUUUGACUGGGGCGGUCGCCUCCCAAAGUGUAACGGAGGCGUUCAAAGGUUACCUCAGCACGGUCGGAAACCGUGCAUUGAGUGCAAAGGCAUAAGGUAGCCUGACUGCGAGACCGACACGUCGAGCAGAGUCGAAAGACGGACUUAGUGAUCCGGCGGUAGAACGUGGAAUUGCCGUCGCUCAACGGAUAAAAGUUACCCUGGGGAUAACAGGCUGAUUCCUCCCAAGAGUUCACAUCGACGGGGGAGUUUGGCACCUCGAUGUCGGCUCAUCACAUCCUGGGGCUGUAGCAGGUCCCAAGGGUUCGGCUGUUCGCCGAUUAAAGUGGUACGCGAGCUGGGUUCAGAACGUCGUGAGACAGUUCGGUCCCUAUCUAUCGUGGGCGUAGGAAAUUUGCGAGGAGCUGUCCCUAGUACGAGAGGACCGGGAUGGACGAACCGAUGGUGAACCGGUUGUCGCGCCAGCGGCAUCGCCGGGUAGCUAAGUUCGGCUGGGAUAAACGCUGAAAGCAUCUAAGUGUGAAGCCCCCCUCAAGAUGAGAUUUCCCCACAAUAUGUGAUAAGGUCCCUGACAGACGAUCAGGUUGAUAGGCCGGGUGUGUAAGCGUAGCAAUACGUUCAGCUGACCGGUACUAAUAGACCGAAGACUUGACC
RNAcentral lists this ribosomal RNA (2903 nucleotides) under metagenome. RNAcentral's name for it is "bacterial LSU rRNA". It matches the Rfam family "Bacterial large subunit ribosomal RNA". The record is from RNAcentral.